GAGAAGCACAAAAGAAAUGGAGAUUCGGCAAGGCUAGACAAAAUUAGCCUUUGUUGAUGUCUUUGCUCCAUUCCUGUUACACAACAAUUAGCAAAGAAAGGCAGCUGUAAUAGGCCAUUUUUGCCUGGGCCAAAACAAAAACAAAAAAGAAAAAAUAAAUAAAAAUAUUAGAAGUUCAGUCCAGUUACAAUACCAGCCCAAAUUAAAAAAACCCUAAAACCCAAUUAUAGGCCCAACAACCUAAACUUUUUUCUCAGAAAGAAACCCUAAUACCUGGCCGCCGCUCUUAGCCUCUGCCACC
This 301-nucleotide long non-coding RNA is filed under the name Gossypium raimondii (Peruvian cotton). RNAcentral describes it as "long non-coding RNA (GRAI_LNC000173)". Lineage: Eukaryota; Viridiplantae; Streptophyta; Magnoliopsida; Malvales; Malvaceae. The record is from RNAcentral.